GCUGAAAGUCCGUAUUGCCCAGCGACAGCCCCGAAACCUGAAGGAUCUGGAGAAGGUCUGUAUGGAGGAGUGGGCCAAAAUCCCUGCUGCAGUGUGUGCAAACCUGGUCAAGAACUACAGGAAAUGUAUGAUCUCUGUAAUUGCAAACAAAGGUUUCUGUACCAAAUAUUAAGUUCUACUUUUCUGAUGUAUCAAAUACUUAUGUCAUGCAAUAAAAUUCUAGUGAAUUACUUAAAAAUCAUAAGAUGUGAUUUUCUGGAUUUUUGAUUCAGUAUCUCACAGUUGAAGUGUACCUAUGAUAAAAAUUACAGACCUCUACAUAAUUUGUAAGUAGGAAAACCUGCUAAAUCGGCAGUGUAUCAAAUACUUGUUCUCCCCACUGUAUAUAUAUAUGCACAUUUUGAAUAUUCCUUAUUUGUUAAGUAAAUAACGGAACCAAGAAAAGAUGGAACCAACAAAGGUGAUAUGAGAACACUCAGAGCAGGUGAGGGAACACUCAGAGCAGGUGAGGGUACACUCAGAGCAGGUGAGGGUACACUCAGAGAAGGUUAUAUGAGAACACUGAGAGCAGGUGAGGGAACAGUCGGAGCAGGUGAUAUGAGAACACUCAGAGCAGGUGAUAUGAGAACACUCAGAGCAGGUGAGGGAACAUUCGGAGCAGGUGAGGGUACACUCAUAGCAGGUGCUAUGAGAACACUCAGAGAAGGUGAGGGAACACUCGGAGCAGGGGAUAUGAGAACACUCAGAGAAGGUGAGGGAACACUCGGAGCAGGGGAUAUGAGAACACUCAGAGAAGGUGAUAUGAGAACACUCAGAGCAGGUAAGGGAACACUCAGAGCAGGUGAGGGAACACUCAGAGCAGGUGAUAUGAGAACACUGAGAGCAGGUGAGGGAACACUCAGAGCAGGUGAGGGAACAUUCGGAGCAGGUGAGGGUACACUCAUAGCAGGUGCUAUGAGAACACUCAGAGAAGGUGAGGGAACACUCGGAGCAGGGGAUAUGAGAACACUCAGAGAAGGUGAUAUGAGAACACUCAGAGAAGGUGGGGGAACACUCAGAGAUGGUGAUAUGAGAACACUCAGAGCAGGUGAUAUGAGAACACUCAGAGAAGGUGAGGGAACACUCAGAGCAGGUGAGGGAACACUCAGAGCAGGUGAGGGUACACUCAUAGCAGGUGCUAUGAGAACACUCAGAGAAGGUGAGGGAACACUCGGAGCAGGGGAUAUGAGAACACUCAGAGAAGGUGAGGGAACACUCGGAGCAGGGGAUAUGAGAACACUCAGAGAAGGUGAUAUGAGGUCUCUCAGAGAAUGUGGGGGAACACUCAGAGAAGG
RNAcentral lists this long non-coding RNA (1334 nucleotides) under Salmo salar (Atlantic salmon). RNAcentral describes it as "lncRNA (ENSSSAG00000116835.1)". The record is from RNAcentral. Lineage: Eukaryota; Metazoa; Chordata; Actinopteri; Salmoniformes; Salmonidae.